CCUACGGGAGGCAGCAGUGAGGAAUAUUGGUCAAUGGGCGCGAGCCUGAACCAGCCAAGUCGCGUGAAGGAUGACUGCCCUACGGGUUGUAAACUUCUUUUAUAAGGGAAUAAAGUGAGGCACGUGUGCACUUUUGUAUGUCCUUUAUGAAUAAGGAACGGCUAACGCCGUGCCAGCAGCCGCGGUAAUACGGCGGAUCCACGAGUUAUCCGGAUUUAGUGGGUUUAAAGGGAGCGUAGAUGGGUUUGUAAGUCAGUUGUGAAAGUUUGCGGCUUAACCCUAAAAUUGCAGUUGAUACUGGCAGCCUUGAGUGCAGGUGAGGUAGGCGGAAUUCGUGGUGUAGCGGUGAAAUGCUUAGAUAUCACGAAGAACUCCGAUUGCGAAGGCAGCCUACUAAACUGCAACUGACAUUGAUGCUCGAAAGUGUGGGUAUCAAACAGGAUUAGAUACCCGAGUAGUC
RNAcentral lists this ribosomal RNA (460 nucleotides) under uncultured bacterium. Its description in RNAcentral is "partial 16S ribosomal RNA". It matches the Rfam family "Bacterial small subunit ribosomal RNA", at positions 338 to 795 of the family's 1533-position model. The record is from RNAcentral.